RNAcentral lists this ribosomal RNA (493 nucleotides) under uncultured bacterium. RNAcentral's name for it is "partial 16S ribosomal RNA". It matches the Rfam family "Bacterial small subunit ribosomal RNA", at positions 27 to 507 of the family's 1533-position model. The record is from RNAcentral.
GAGUGAACGCUGGCGGUAGGCCUAACACAUGCAAGUCGAACGGCAGCACAGUAAGAGCUUGCUCUUACGGGUGGCGAGUGGCGGACGGGUGAGGAAUACAUCGGAAUCUACUUUUUCGUGGGGGAUAACGUAGGGAAACUUACGCUAAUACCGCAUACGACCUACGGGUGAAAGCAGGGGAUCUUCGGACCUUGCGCGAUUGAAUGAGCCGAUGUCGGAUUAGCUAGUUGGCGGGGUAAAGGCCCACCAAGGCGACGAUCCGUAGCUGGUCUGAGAGGAUGAUCAGCCACACUGGAGCUGAGACACGGUCCAGACUCCUACGGGAGGCAGCAGUGGGGAAUAUUGGACAAUGGGCGCAAGCCUGAUCCAGCCAUACCGCGUGGGUGAAGAAGGCCUUCGGGUUGUAAAGCCCUUUUGUUGGGAAAGAAAAGCAGCAGGUUAAUACCCCGCUGUUCUGACGGUACCCAAAGAAUAAGCACCGGCUAACUUCGUG